UUCGCAAUGCCCGAAAGGGUGACGAAGCGACGCCGCGUGGGUGAAGAAGGCCUUCGGGUUGUAAAGCCCUGUCAGGAGUUAUGAAAUGUAGGUGCGAUAAUACCGUGCCUAUUUGACAAAGGCUCCAAAGGAAGCCACGGCUAACUCUGUGCCAGCAGCCGCGGUAAUACAGAGGUGGCAAGCGUUGUUCGGAAUUAUUGGGCGUAAAGAGCACGUAGGUGGGUUUGUAAGUCAGAUGUGAAAGCCUUCUGUUCAACGGAAGAAUUGCAUCUGAAACUGCGAGUCUUGAGUGUAGGAGGGGAGAGUGGAACUUCUGGUGGAGCGGUGAAAUGCGUAGAUAUCAGAAGGAACGCCGGCGGCGAAAGCGAUUCUCUGGCCUAUUACUGACACUGAGUGUGCGAAAGCUAGGGGAGCAAACGGGAUUAGAUACCCCGGUAGUCCUAGCCGUAAACGAUGGGCACUAAGUAGAGGGGUUUU
This 477-nucleotide ribosomal RNA is filed under the name Candidatus Scalindua marina (nom. nud.). Its description in RNAcentral is "bacterial SSU rRNA". It matches the Rfam family "Bacterial small subunit ribosomal RNA", at positions 365 to 832 of the family's 1533-position model. The record is from RNAcentral. Lineage: Bacteria; Pseudomonadati; Planctomycetota; Candidatus Brocadiia; Candidatus Brocadiales; Candidatus Scalinduaceae.